This 309-nucleotide long non-coding RNA is filed under the name Mytilus galloprovincialis (Mediterranean mussel). Lineage: Eukaryota; Metazoa; Mollusca; Bivalvia; Mytilida; Mytilidae. The record is from RNAcentral.
CGAAAGUUUAAAAAAACAACAACUAAAAACGUGUCUAAAUAAGUGUGAAAGAUUCAGCUCUGAGAAUCGGUCAAGUGCAAUUCAGAAAGACCGACACUAUUUAGCCGAUAAUAUGGAUAUGCAACGUUUAAAUCAAAAUGAUAUCCAUCAAACAAAAAAUUACAGCAAAACAGCAUCUUUCAUGGGUAAUUUGAGAUUGAACAAUAACCAACAUUUUGUGCAACAGUACUUUCUUAAGUUCUUUAUACACAACGCAGAUGUGGAUUGAUUUAACUAUAUACUACAGACUAUAGAAUACCAGAUCGCAAA